AGAAGACUGACUGAGAUGUGUUGGCGGGCUUCUCAAGAUCCCUAUCGAUGGCAGAAUGCUGACAUGAGUUGCCCAUAGUCCAGGUUUCCCAAUGUAGCAGAUGACUCUAGCGGCUCCAGCUUCAGCAUCAUCUUAAGUUCAAGUGAAAAGGAAAAGAGAAUCUCUUUUUCUUCAAACAAUUUCAAACUAAAAUCUUGAGUCUGACUUUUCCUGGCCAGAAUUAAGCUUGUACUUAUCCCUGAAAAAUCAUCAAUGCUACAGUGAUGAAUUUACCAAUUGAGGCAGAAUUUAGGUCACAUGACGCUCCAAAGCCUCUUCAAAACCGCAUGACUCAGAGUGAGGCAGAAGUAUUUGGGAUAUUUGCAACAGGAGAAGGGUAAAUGAAUGGAGAGUGCCAAAACAACUUAUGUCAAUUAUACAAUUAUAAAUACAACCAAAAUAAAGUAUGGAAAUCAG
Molecule: long non-coding RNA, 456 nt
Filed under: Homo sapiens (human)
Lineage: Eukaryota; Metazoa; Chordata; Mammalia; Primates; Hominidae
Description: non-protein coding lnc-CD109-3:2
Source: RNAcentral